Molecule: ribosomal RNA, 481 nt
Filed under: uncultured bacterium
Lineage: Bacteria
Description: partial 16S ribosomal RNA
Rfam family: Bacterial small subunit ribosomal RNA
Source: RNAcentral
GAUGAACGCUGGCGGCGUGCUUAACACAUGCAAGUCGAACGAAGCACUUUAUUUGAUUUCCUUCGGGACUGAUUAUUUUGUGACUGAGUGGCGGACGGGUGAGUAACGCGUGGGUAACCUGCCUUGUACAGGGGGAUAACAGUUGGAAACGGCUGCUAAUACCGCAUAAGCGCACGGCAUCGCAUGAUGCAGUGUGAAAAACUCCGGUGGUAUAAGAUGGACCCGCGUUGGAUUAGCUAGUUGGUGAGGUAACGGCCCACCAAGGCGACGAUCCAUAGCCGACCUGAGAGGGUGACCGGCCACAUUGGGACUGAGACACGGCCCAAACUCCUACGGGAGGCAGCAGUGGGGAAUAUUGCGCAAUGGGCGAAAGCCUGAUGCAGCGACGCCGCGUGAGCGAAGAAGUAUUUCGGUAUGUAAAGCUCUAUCAGCAGGGAAGAUAAUGACGGUACCUGACUAAGAAGCACCGGCUAAAUACGUG